GACGAACGCUGGCGGCGUGCCUAAUACAUGCAAGUAGAACGCUGACUACUUUAGCUUGCUAGAGUAGAAGGAGUUGCGAACGGGUGAGUAACGCGUAGGUAACCUGCCUACUAGCGGGGGAUAACUAUUGGAAACGAUAGCUAAUACCGCAUAACAGUGUUUAACACAUGUUAGAUGCUUGAAAGAUGCAAUUGCAUCACUAGUAGAUGGACCUGCGUUGUAUUAGCUAGUUGGUGGGGUAACGGCCCACCAAGGCGACGAUACAUAGCCGACCUGAGAGGGUGAUCGGCCACACUGGGACUGAGACACGGCCCAGACUCCUACGGGAGGCAGCAGUAGGGAAUCUUCGGCAAUGGGGGCAACCCUGACCGAGCAACGCCGCGUGAGUGAAGAAGGUUUUCGGAUCGUAAAGCUCUGUUGUAAGAGAAGAACGUGUGUGAGAGUGGAAAGUUCACACAGUGACGGUAACUUACCAGAAAGGGACGGCUAACUACGUGCCAGCCGCCGCCGUAA
Molecule: ribosomal RNA, 513 nt
Filed under: uncultured bacterium
Lineage: Bacteria
Description: partial 16S ribosomal RNA
Rfam family: Bacterial small subunit ribosomal RNA
Source: RNAcentral